Non-coding RNA from Paramuricea clavata, 2019 nucleotides. The record is from the annotation of a GenBank genome assembly. NCBI's taxonomy places the organism in Eukaryota, Metazoa, Cnidaria, Anthozoa, Malacalcyonacea, Plexauridae.
ACAUCACAGACAUCACAUGGACAUAGCACUGGUCAUAAAUACUAAAGGUUGUACAAUAUUUUCUUUAGACUGCUACUAGAAGACUAAAUGUUCUGUCUUCAAAAAUUAUACAAAGUCAAAGGGGUGAUUAUUUUUUAUUCUUAUUUUAUUGAAAACCACAACUGGUUUACAGCAAAUAGCAAUGAGGCGUCAAGCUCUUCAAAUUCUACAAUCUAAGCAAGUUACAUGUUCUAUGACUUUUCGUAAACGUAAAAUAUGUUAAUGAGUUAUGAUCGAAAUUUCUAGUAUACACUAGUUGACCAUUAUAAAAAUCAGCGUGAUCUUUGUAAAAAAUAAACUUUCCGAGGAUUGUAGUUUUUCCCUUCUCUACACUUGGCCAAGUGAACUUGCAUAGCAGAGACAGUGUCUAUAGUAUUAAAAGUUUAGUCAGUGUCAAAAAUAACUUCCCUUUGUUUUCGAUCAUUAAACAGCCUAGUAUUAUACACAGUGAGUAGUUAAACCAAACUGCAUUAUAUUUACUCAUACGAGAACGAACUCCCAGUUUGAACAUCGAAAACAAAGAGAAGUAUGUAAAUAGUUGUAUAAUUAGACAAGUCUAUAAAGUUAUUCUUCAUAGUACUAGUCCAUUUCUUCCUUUUUUCUUCUUCUUCCAUUCCUCUUCUUCUCUCGAUUCCAGCUGCUUUUGAAUUUUUGUUUUAGUUAAUUUGAGUGGACUAAGGCACUAAGCUAGACUUUCAAUCUGAUAAAACUGACAGUGUAAGGAAUCAUUGCAAUCGAAAAUUGAUAAACAAAACAUAUACGAAGUUACAUUCAACAAAUUCGGUUGUUUCGACACGUGUUAUAUAAAAAAAUGUUAAAAUUUUGACAAGGGAAUCCAAAAGCAAGCUGGAAUCAAUUGUAAACAGUUGUUAUUGUCACGUUAAGUUUUACGUUCGUGUAAAGUUUCUUUGAGUAUUACCAUCACCAUUUUCACCAUCAUCAUUUCCACCAUCAUCAACAAUGUUCGUUGUUCGUUUUCGUCUCUGACCAAUGCAAGUUUAUCCACAUGACUUUUGUUCCACUCGGUACAGGAAAUUUCCGAUUUAUUAUACCAAUAAACGUUUCGUUGCUCAUUUUUUACCUGGAACUGUUUGUUGUUCGUCUGUCAUUAUGUCCGAUAUCUGUUCAUAUAUUUUGAUGUUGUUAGAAUGUUAUAUUGACCUGCGAUAAAAACCAUACAGAAAUCUGUCGAUUCAACAUCGUAUGGCAAAUGAUCUGUUCGUUGCCGUCUAUGUAUUUUAUUGUAACUUGCUCACGCACUUUCCAAACGAUUACAAAUAUCUUGUUCACUUGUUUCCCUCUGCUGCAGUUGCGAUAAUUCAUUUGGUUUUCUGGCUACAUGUUGCUCACAACUGUUGCUCUCUGUGUUGUGAUUAUUUUCUGAUCACAUACAUUUUCCUUCUUCGAUCUUCUACUUUCGUGUUCUUCUUUUAGUGUUUUCAGCAGGACUCUUCCUGCAAUGGUUGGUUGCUUGUCUUUCCACAGGUUGUUUUGAUUAGUUCUUCGUUUAAUUGUCAGGUUUUUUCUGCCUUUUGGCUAAGGGCAAUACGAUAGGCGAUUGUCUCUCUUAUCAAUUCAGUUUGUAGUUGUUACUGUCUUUUUACGUUACUGUCUUGUUGUUUCUUGUUACGUACUGUAACAUAUGUUACGUACUGUAACAUAUUGAAGGAUACACUGUUCAUCGUGGUUUGCGCCAACUUGGGUGUUGUUUGUAUUCUGUACUUAAGUUCUCGUCGUUGUGGAUGGAACUGGUCACUUGCAAAUAUCUGCUUUCAAAAACAAUUGGCAGUCCAAUUCCUUAUUUAAUUUUUUGGAUUCAGCAUACGGGGAACACCGUUUCAGCUCAUUUUUGUCGUUUAAUAGUUUUUAAUGUCAUGUCCGUUGUUAGUUUAACAGACUUUACCAGUCUGUCAUUUGACUCGGCUCCGAGGGUUCGUCAAGCCCUAACCAUUAAAUGGUCACCCUGCGGUACAUUCAAAU